GUUUUAGUAGUUUAAAAUAAAACAUCGGUCUUGUAAGUCGAAAAUAAGGGUUAUUCCUUUUAAAACA
Molecule: transfer RNA, 67 nt
Filed under: Euphausia pacifica (North Pacific krill)
Lineage: Eukaryota; Metazoa; Arthropoda; Malacostraca; Euphausiacea; Euphausiidae
Description: tRNA-Thr
Rfam family: tRNA
About the family: Transfer RNA (tRNA) molecules are approximately 80 nucleotides in length. Their secondary structure includes four short double-helical elements and three loops (D, anti-codon, and T loops). Further hydrogen bonds mediate the characteristic L-shaped molecular structure. tRNAs have two regions of fundamental functional importance: the anti-codon, which is responsible for specific mRNA codon recognition, and the 3' end, to which the tRNAs corresponding amino acid is attached (by aminoacyl-tRNA synthetases). tRNAs cope with the degeneracy of the genetic code in two manners: having more than one tRNA (with a specific anti-codon) for a particular amino acid; and 'wobble' base-pairing, i.e. permitting non-standard base-pairing at the 3rd anti-codon position.
Source: RNAcentral